Molecule: ribosomal RNA, 379 nt
Filed under: uncultured bacterium
Lineage: Bacteria
Description: bacterial SSU rRNA
Rfam family: Bacterial small subunit ribosomal RNA
Source: RNAcentral
AUACGUAGGGAGCAAGCGUUGUCCGGAUUUAUUGGGCGUAAAGAGCUCGUAGGCGGUUCAGUAAGUCAGGUGUGAAAGCUCUGGGCUCAACUCAGAGAAGCCACCUGAUACUGCUGUGACUAGAAUCCAGUAGGGGAGUGUGGAACUCCUGGUGUAGCGGUGAAAUGCGCAGAUAUCAGGAAGAACACCAGCGGCGAAGGCGGCACUCUGGGCUGGUAUUGACGCUGAGGAGCGAAAGUGUGGGUAGCAAACAGGAUUAGAUACCCUGGUAGUCCACACCGUAAACGUUGGGCACUAGGUGUGGGGAGGAAUCAACCCUUUCCGUGCCGUAGCUAACGCAUUAAGUGCCCCGCCUGGGGAGUACGGCCGCAAGGCUAAA